Molecule: long non-coding RNA, 778 nt
Filed under: Gossypium barbadense (sea-island cotton)
Lineage: Eukaryota; Viridiplantae; Streptophyta; Magnoliopsida; Malvales; Malvaceae
Description: long non-coding RNA (GBAR_LNC020356)
Source: RNAcentral
UGCUUCAGCCGAUCGGGCUAUCUCGCAGUCCACCGUAUCGCCACUAUUUUUAGUGCCCGGUGACGCGCGACCCUGGGUAUUUAAACCCCGCUUGGGAGCCCUUCGAAGGCCAGGCACCUCGACGUCCUUUGGGAACCAAGAGAGAAACCCGUGGCCCUCUCCUUCGAACCCAAUCGCCACGAUGGAGAAGGUUCUCCGGCGACGCGUCCGUGGUUUCAGGUGAGGUUUCCUUAUUUCUUUUCUUUUACUUUUGUCUAUUUUCGUAUAUAAAAAAGAAAAAUAAAAAAAACAAAAUAAGUGAACUCAGAUCUUAGAACGAAAGUGAAAAUCAACCUUUUUUGAUUUCUUGCUACCCUUUGUUUAUGUUUGUUUCCAUCUCCCCUAUCUGUGUUACAAAAUCCUUUUUUUAUAUCAAAAAAGAAGAACCCCCCUCCUCCCCUUACAAAAUAGUUUCGGUGGCUUAAUAUAGCCUUCCACAAUUUUCUCCUAUUUUUUGUUUUCUGUCUUUUCUUCUUUGUUUUUGCAGGUGCAAGUGGCAUGGGAGCGGCAGAGCAGGUGGAGCAAGUGAGCGGUGAUGGGACGGUGGCAGAAAGCAGGUGAACGGCGGAGUUGGUGGCGGUGGCAGAGGGUAGGUGAUGGGGUAUUGUAAUUGGGUCUGCUGGUAUGGGUUCUUUUGUUAGUGGGCCGGGCAGAAAUUGGGUAAGUUAAUUGGUUUUGUGUUUUGUUUUUUUGCUUGGGCUAGAGGUUAAUUGGGCCCGGGCAUGAAAAUUGGGCUUGU